GACGAGCAUCACAAACGUUAUUCGGAAUUACUGGGCGUAAAGCGCGCGUAGGCGGCGUUGCAAGUUGGGAGUGAAGUCCCAGGGCUUAACCCUGGAAUUGCUUUCAAAACUGCAGUGCUAGAGAAUGGUAGAGGGUGACGGAAUUCCCGGUGUAGAGGUGAAAUUCGUAGAUAUCGGGAGGAACACCAGUGGCGAAGGCGGUCACCUGGGCCAUUUCUGACGCUAAGGCGCGAAAGCGUGGGGAGCGAACAGG
RNAcentral lists this ribosomal RNA (253 nucleotides) under uncultured bacterium. RNAcentral describes it as "partial 16S ribosomal RNA". It matches the Rfam family "Bacterial small subunit ribosomal RNA", at positions 524 to 776 of the family's 1533-position model. The record is from RNAcentral.